RNAcentral lists this ribosomal RNA (463 nucleotides) under uncultured bacterium. RNAcentral describes it as "partial 16S ribosomal RNA". It matches the Rfam family "Bacterial small subunit ribosomal RNA", at positions 28 to 507 of the family's 1533-position model. The record is from RNAcentral.
GAUGAACGCUGACAGAAUGCUUAACACAUGCAAGUCUUUGGCGAAGCUGUGCUUGCACAGCCUAGCCAAGGCGGACGGGUGAGUAACGCGUAAGGAACUUGCCCUGCAGUCAGAGAUAACAGACGGAAACGACUGAUAAGACCUGGUAAAGUCAGGCGGACUCAUGUCCAGCCUGAUGAAAAGAGAUGCUGCAGGAGAGCCUUGCGUCCUAUUAGCUUGUUGGUGGGGUAACGGCCCACCAAGGCGAUGAUAGGUAGCCGGCCUGAGAGGGUGGACGGCCACAAGGGGACUGAGAUACGGCCCUUACUCCUACGGGAGGCAGCAGUGGGGAAUAUUGGACAAUGGGGGCAACCCUGAUCCAGCAAUUCUGUGUGCACGAUGAAGGUUUUCGGAUUGUAAAGUGCUUUCAGCAGGGAAGAAAAAAAUGACGGUACCUGCAGAAGAAGCGACGGCUAAAUACGUG